This 295-nucleotide unclassified non-coding RNA is filed under the name uncultured Verrucomicrobiales bacterium. RNAcentral's name for it is "contains 16S-23S intergenic spacer region". Lineage: Bacteria; Pseudomonadati; Verrucomicrobiota; Verrucomicrobiia; Verrucomicrobiales. The record is from RNAcentral.
UUGGACUACUAGGGUUUCUAAUCCCGUUCGCUACCCUGGCCUUCGAGCCUCAGCGUCAGGAGUUGUCCAGUAGCUCGCUUUCGCCACGAGUGUUCCUCUUGAUCUCCACGCAUUUCACUGCUACACCAAGAAUUCCAGCUACCUCUCCAAUCCUCUAGCACGGCAGUAUCGGAUGCAGUUCCGGGGUUGAGCCCCGGGAUUUCACAUCUGACUUACCACGCCGCCUACGCUCCCUUUACGCCCAGUGAUUCCGAACAACGCUCGGGACCUUCGUAUUACCGCGGCUGCUGGCACU